RNAcentral lists this ribosomal RNA (465 nucleotides) under uncultured Klebsiella sp. RNAcentral describes it as "bacterial SSU rRNA". It matches the Rfam family "Bacterial small subunit ribosomal RNA", at positions 338 to 795 of the family's 1533-position model. Lineage: Bacteria; Pseudomonadati; Pseudomonadota; Gammaproteobacteria; Enterobacterales; Enterobacteriaceae. The record is from RNAcentral.
CCUACGGGUGGCUGCAGUGGGGAAUAUUGCACAAUGGGCGCAAGCCUGAUGCAGCCAUGCCGCGUGUGUGAAGAAGGCCUUCGGGUUGUAAAGCACUUUCAGCGGGGAGGAAGGCGGUGAGGUUAAUAACCUCAUCGAUUGACGUUACCCGCAGAAGAAGCACCGGCUAACUCCGUGCCAGCAGCCGCGGUAAUACGGAGGGUGCAAGCGUUAAUCGGAAUUACUGGGCGUAAAGCGCACGCAGGCGGUCUGUCAAGUCGGAUAUGAAAUCCCCGGGCUCAACCUGGGAACUGCAUUCGAAACUGGCAGGCUAGAGUCUUGUAGAGGGGGGUAGAAUUCCAGGUGUAGCGGUGAAAUGCGUAGAGAUCUGGAGGAAUACCGGUGGCGAAGGCGGCCCCCUGGACAAAGACUGACGCUCAGGUGCGAAAGCGUGGGGAGCAAACAGGAUUAGAUACCCCUGUAGUC